CCCUCUUGGAUCUGCAAAAUUUGGGGAC
Molecule: non-coding RNA, 28 nt
Filed under: Rattus norvegicus (Norway rat)
Lineage: Eukaryota; Metazoa; Chordata; Mammalia; Rodentia; Muridae
Source: RNAcentral